AAUAUAUUUCAAAAGCUUCGAUAUGCUUUUCAAUAUCUAUAAGAUCAAAGGUUUAACGUUCGUAUUUAUACCAGCGAACGGAAGCAUGUAACACCUAAUUAUACGCAUUCUAAAGAUCUAAAUUAAAGUAAUCCAAUCAGGAAACGUUUUCACUUUUACAAAUGCCUUUUUAGCCUCUUCACUUUUGAAUUGAAAAAUGUCUUUAUGUUGUACCAGAUAUUUAUUAUAGAAAAAUGUAUUUAAAAAGCAUUUCCUGCUCAACAACACUUUCAUUGAUUCUCAGAAUUAAGAUUUUCUUUUUUUUAAAGCACUAUUCAUCCUAUUUUGAAAAUAUGUAACAUUCAAUGUUUGAAGCAAUGGGUAAUAGAAAUAAAAACGUUGCGCUGCAUACUUCAGUCGCCUCGUCUCUCUCGUAGCGACCGGCUGUGCGCCGCGGAAGCUCCGUAUAAUUCUCGCAAAUUCUCGCCGAAUCUGAAACGAGAGUGCUCAAGAUGUCGAAUCAAGUAUCGAAAAUGCCGAAGCUAGUAUUAGAAAUAGAAAAAUGUGUCGAACGUAUGUCGGGAAAGCUAAAUCAAGCUUCGGCAGCGUUGGAUCGGUUGGCGAGCAUCGUAUGUUUUGUAACAUACAGUUUUCAUUGCUCCGUAACUCCCUCGAUCCUGAGAUAAGUAUCGAAAAUGUCGAAGAAAGUAUCGAGCAAUAUCAAUCGAAUAUCUAAAGGAUCAAACUGAACGUCGGACAUGCCGAGGUGACCAAUAGCGGGUGACCGUUACAGAAUUUCGUCGUUUGAAGUGAUAGGGUUAGGAACGACGCGCGACGCACUUCAGUUGUCUCGUCUCCCUCGCGACCGUUGGACGUGUGUCGCGGCAGCUCCGCGUCUCUCGCGAUUUCUACUCGCCGAAUCUGAAACGAGGGUGCUCAAGGUAUCGAAUUAAGUGCCGGAAACGCCGAAUCUAGUGUCGGGAAUGGAGUAAUGUGCCGAACGUACGAAACGUACGUUGGGAGAGUCGAAUCGAGUCUUGGCAGCAUCGGAUUAAUUGGUGAGCAUCGUACGUUUUGUACAGUUUUCACUCGCCGAAUCUGAGAUAAGUGUCGAAAGUGGCGAAGAAAGUGUCGAGCAAUGUCAAUCGAACAUCACUGGGAUCAAACUGAACGUCGGACAUUUCGAGGCGACGAAUAGCGAAUGACCGUUACAGAAUUUCGUCGUUUGAAGUGAUACGGUUAGGAACGACGCGCGAUGCACUUCAGUCGCCUCGUCUCCCUCGCGACCGUUGGACGGUGUGUCGCGGCAGCUCCGCGUUUCUCGCGAUUUCCACUCGCCGAAUCUGAAACGAGGGUGCUCAAGAUAUCGAAUUAACUGUUGGAAAUGGAGUGACGUGUCGGAAGAUCCGAAUCAAGCUUCGGCGGACAUCGGAAUGUCGAAUGUCGGAUGGCGAGUCAUCUUUCGUGCGAUUUUGGCUCGUCGAGUUGUGAAAUCAGUACUGAAUCAAGUGUCUGGGACGUCGAUCGAACGUCAGGAUCGUCGAUCGAACGUCAGGAUCGUCGAUCGAACGUCAGGAUCGUCGAAUUGAACGUCGCUAAGAAUAGUGCACGGCCGUUACGGCGUUUCGUCGUUCGAGAAGCUUCAAGUGCCAGCAAUUAAGAACGUUGUGCCGUAUACUUUAGUCGCCUCCGUUUCGUCUAUCGCCGGGAUUCGCGCUCGUCUCGGGUUUCCGAGAUGUCGGGAGUGUCGAAUUAAUUGUUACGAGUGCCGGGAGUGCCGGGAGUGUCGAACGACGUCGGAAAUAUUCGCAAGUUGUUUUUUUUACGCCUUCGCCGCCACGGGCCGACCGCGAAUUCGGUCGCGUAACGAGCCGAGAGGUUAGAUAAAACGCUCUUUUUUUUUUUUUUGACGACGGCUUCAUUGUUCUACCUCCCGUCGGGUCAUAAAUAUACGUACAAAACUUAUAGAUAUGUGCGUAAAAUCGGGACGCGGCAUUUCGGCUAGUGUCCGGUGAACACACCGCGGCGUAGCGCGCCGCCCGGCGCCUCGCGGCGACGGAGUGGGGGGAGUGAUCACGUGGGACGGACGGGACGGCGGGGCGGCGAGUACGCGCGGCCAACGUUCAGUCUUCAGUCCCAUGCUGUUGUGCGUCGUGUGCGGGUGUCCGCGGGCGCGCGGGAUCUUUCGCCUCGCCUCGCCUCCUUCGCUCGUUUCGUUUCGGACACUUUUUCCCUCCAAGCGACGUUUGUGCAGCGUGCGGACAGGAGAGUGACGUCGUCGAUGUGCCGCGAGAUCCAAGAUCCCGAGAUUAUCGUCGGUCAUCUCGUCAUCGGUCGCGUUUUUGUAACUUUGAGAUCGUCGAAAUUAAAUACGACGCUCCGACUCCCGACGCGAGUUUCUCUCUCUCUCGUUUCGUGCGAUCGUAGUUUCGUAACGCUCGCGAUCUCGACUGAAAUCAAUAAAAAAACGACGUUAGUGACGCACGGGAGAGUGUCCGACUCCAGUUAGUAAUACCACGGUGGGAAAUCUGUCUUGGAAUAAUCGUACUUGUAUGAUUGAAAUAUUUGGAGUAUCAGUAGUGUGGAUUCAAUCUAGAGCGACGUGUGUCUCUUUAAUUUUUAGCAAAAAAAUUGUGUUGACAAUUUCUGGCCGCGCACUUGAAACAAUAACUUCAAUCGCGAUUGAAACAAGUGAUGUCGCUCAUUAUAGAAUUAGCAAUUUACUGAACUUACGAAGAAAUUGUAUUUCUCUCGAAAAGCGCGAAGCACAACUUUUAGAAAACGGGAAAUUCACCGGAUCAAGGUGCGCGUCGCGUUAUCAAGCGCAACGAGGACUGGCGUGAUUUCGCGCGCGAGAGAGGGAUGCGUGUAAGGAGUCGCGAGCAGCCGGGCCGCUCUCUUCCCGCGCGCGCGAUUUUCGCCGUGCACGCCGACGCGCCGCGCGAGUUGUCGGGACGGCCGAGGCCCGAUGAUUUAGAGAAUCUCGCGUGUGAGUGACGCGGUGACGCGCGGACAAUGCGCGGAAUUUCGGUUUUGAAUUUUGCGGGACGAUCGUGACAGCGCGUCACGGGGCGCGCGAGGCGCGCUGCUGGAUGUGUAGUGCCACCGCGGGUUGCAAUGACGUUUGGCUUUGACUUUGAGUGGUCGUUAGAGUGGUCGGUAUCUCUAUCACCUACCUACCUACCCUAUUCGGGAUUGGGAUCUGAUUUAUGUUGCGCCGAGUGCCACCACCGCCGAAAUUCUCUGCCGCCUCCUCACCCACCUUCCCCGGCCGACCUGGAUUCGUCGUCGCUAAAGGUUUUUUGGCUCUUGCCGUGAUGCGAUCACCUGAAUGGCGAC
Molecule: long non-coding RNA, 3318 nt
Organism: Monomorium pharaonis (pharaoh ant)
Lineage: Eukaryota; Metazoa; Arthropoda; Insecta; Hymenoptera; Formicidae
Exons: 3
Source: RefSeq, a predicted model, not a curated record